GAUGAACGCUGGCGGCGUGCUUAACACAUGCAAGUCGAACGGAAAGGCCCUGCUUUUGUGGGGUGCUCGAGUGGCGAACGGGUGAGUAACACGUGAGUAACCUGCCCUUGACUUUGGGAUAACUUCAGGAAACUGGGGCUAAUACCGGAUAGGAGCUCCUGCUGCAUGGUGGGGGUUGGAAAGUUUCGGCGGUUGGGGAUGGACUCGCGGCUUAUCAGCUUGUUGGUGGGGUAGUGGCUUACCAAGGCUUUGACGGGUAGCCGGCCUGAGAGGGUGACCGGCCACAUUGGGACUGAGAUACGGCCCAGACUCCUACGGGGGGCAGCAGUGGGGAAUAUUGCACAAUGGGCGGAAGCCUGAUGCAGCAACGCCGCGUGCGGGAUGACGGCCUUCGGGUUGUAAACCGCUUUCGCCUGUGACGAAGCGUGAGUGACGGUAAUGGGUAAAGAAGCACCGGCUAACUACGUG
This 468-nucleotide ribosomal RNA is filed under the name uncultured bacterium. RNAcentral describes it as "partial 16S ribosomal RNA". It matches the Rfam family "Bacterial small subunit ribosomal RNA", at positions 28 to 507 of the family's 1533-position model. The record is from RNAcentral.